GCUCGGCUUAUGUGAGAAAGGACAGUGAAAUACCACGUCCAUACAUUUAUUUGGCUGUUUGGACAAGGUUAGAAUAAGAGCAGGGCAAAAAUUGCAGCCCUUUCUGUGAGAGUCAAGAAAACCAUUAGUUUGAAACCAAAUCACGUGCAGGCACACGCACACACACCGAGAUACGCACACACACAAACAUGCACACACCCGCAGCUGCUGCUAGCGGUGCUUGAUAGGACCCUGAAGAAAAUGAGAAUGUUAGCUAAAUGAUUUACUGCGAGCAUAAGAGGACAUUUUGACAUACACCGUUUUUAUGUUUUCCCAUUUCCUAUAUAAAAUGUGUAGAACUUUUGAAGCCCUUGGACUCCAGUGGUCGGCUCCCGCUCUGACCACUUCAAACCCCGCAGACAAAUAUAAUGAGAAAAUGCAUCUGCUUGGAUGGUGAAUGAGACAUGAAGUUCCCAGGAGGAUAUAGACUUACUUAUUGCCCUGUAACAUCUACUUGUUCCAAGGAAGGAAAUUUUCAACACAAAGC
Molecule: long non-coding RNA, 526 nt
Filed under: Monodelphis domestica (gray short-tailed opossum)
Lineage: Eukaryota; Metazoa; Chordata; Mammalia; Didelphimorphia; Didelphidae
Description: lncRNA (ENSMODG00000035464.2)
Source: RNAcentral